RNAcentral lists this ribosomal RNA (274 nucleotides) under uncultured bacterium. RNAcentral describes it as "partial 16S ribosomal RNA". It matches the Rfam family "Bacterial small subunit ribosomal RNA", at positions 523 to 796 of the family's 1533-position model. The record is from RNAcentral.
AUACGAAGGUCCCAAGCGUUAUUCGGAAUCACUGGGCGUAAAGAGUACGUAGGCGGUUUGGUAAGUCAGGUGUGAAAUCCCGAAGCUCAACUUCGGAACUGCAUCCGAUACUGCCAGACUAGAGUAAUGGAGAGGCAGGUGGAAUUCUCGGUGUAGCAGUGAAAUGCGUGGAUAUCGAGAGGAAGACCAAUGGCGAAGGCAGCCUGCCGGACAUUUACUGACGCUGAGGUACGAAGGCUAGGGGAGCGAAAGGGAUUAGAUACCCCAGUAGUCC